This is a long non-coding RNA of Pseudopodoces humilis (Tibetan ground-tit), 359 nucleotides long. RefSeq lists it as uncharacterized. Lineage: Eukaryota; Metazoa; Chordata; Aves; Passeriformes; Paridae. The record is from RefSeq and is a predicted model, not a curated record.
CUUGGGUGAGUAGUUGAGUUUUCCGUGGUAGUCAGCAGAGAGAGUUGACCUCUGGAGGCCAUUUUAGAGCACUUAAAUUCAUCAUUGUUGUUUACUUAUGGAGCUUGGAUUCCUGAGAGAAGGCACAUAAAUCAGACCAACACCCAGCCCAUUACUGAGCAGCAAUUAGCAGGACCUGACCAACUUGCUCCAGUUUAUGGACUGAAAACAACAUUCUAUGGUUCUUUUCCCAGUUUGGAUCAGCCUGUGCACCUGCUCGCUGGCAGAGUGUGAGACACUGGAAAGUCCUUGACUCAGGAGCUAUUUCUGCUUUGUCACUUUUCCACAUCGUUUGUCUGUGCAGCUUCUAGGGCUCCCUC